RNAcentral lists this ribosomal RNA (253 nucleotides) under uncultured bacterium. RNAcentral describes it as "partial 16S ribosomal RNA". It matches the Rfam family "Bacterial small subunit ribosomal RNA", at positions 524 to 776 of the family's 1533-position model. The record is from RNAcentral.
UACGGGGGGGGCAAGCGUUGUUCGGAAUUACUGGGCGUAAAGGGCUCGUAGGUGGCCAACUAAGUCAGACGUGAAAUCCCUCGGCUUAACCGGGGAACUGCGUCUGAUACUGGAUGGCUUGAGGUUGGGAGAGGGAUGCGGAAUUCCAGGUGUAGCGGUGAAAUGCGUAGAUAUCUGGAGGAACACCGGUGGCGAAGGCGGCAUCCUGGACCGAUACUGACGCUGAGGAGCGAAAGCCAGGGGAGCAAACGGG